GGAUGUGAGGGCGAUCUGGCUGCGACAUCUGUCACCCCAUUGAUCGCCAGGGUUGAUUCGGCUGAUCUGGCUGGCUAGGCGGGUGUCCCCUUCCUCCCUCACCGCUCCAUGUGCGUCCCUCCCGAAGCUGCGCGCUCGGUCGAAGAGGACGACCACCCCCGAUAGAGGAGGACCGGUCUUCGGUCAAGGGUAUACGAGUAGCUGUGCUCCCCUGCUAGAAUAUGACUGCACCCAAAAACCACAGAACAUACUUUUUUUUUUUUUUUUUUUGAGACAGAGUCUUGCUGUGUUGCCCAGGCUGGAGCACAGUGGCACAAUUUCAGCUCACUG
This is an unclassified non-coding RNA of Gorilla gorilla gorilla (western lowland gorilla), 330 nucleotides long. Its record names the gene 7SK. It matches the Rfam family "7SK RNA". Rfam says of the family: 7SK was discovered as an abundant small nuclear RNA in the mid-70s but a possible function has only recently been suggested. Two independent studies have found that 7SK RNA binds the CDK9/cyclin T complex (known as elongation factor P-TEFb). P-TEFb activates transcription by phosphorylating the C-terminal domain of RNA polymerase II. Lineage: Eukaryota; Metazoa; Chordata; Mammalia; Primates; Hominidae. The record is from Ensembl.